GAUGAACGCUGGCGGCGUGCCUAACACAUGCAAGUCGAGCGAACCCUUCGAGGUGAGCGGCGGACGGGUGAGUAACGCGUGGGUAACCUGCCCUAUACACACGGAUAACGUACCGAAAGGUACGCUAAUACGGGAUAAAGUUGUUGGAUGGCAUCUUCUAACAAUCAAAGCUCCGGCGGUAUAGGAUGGACCCGCGUCUGAUUAGCUAGUUGGUGAGGUAAUGGCUCACCAAGGCGACGAUCAGUAGCCGACCUGAGAGGGUGAUCGGCCACACUGGAACUGAGACACGGUCCAGACUCCUACGGGAGGCAGCAGUGGGGAAUAUUGCACAAUGGGCGAAAGCCUGAUGCAGCAACGCCGCGUGAGCGAUGAAGGUCUUCGGAUCGUAAAGCUCUGUCCUCAAGGAAGAUAAUGACGGUACUUGAGGAGGAAGCCCCGGCUAACUACGUGCCAGCCGCCGCGGUAA
This 466-nucleotide ribosomal RNA is filed under the name uncultured bacterium. Its description in RNAcentral is "partial 16S ribosomal RNA". It matches the Rfam family "Bacterial small subunit ribosomal RNA", at positions 28 to 523 of the family's 1533-position model. The record is from RNAcentral.